AACGAACGCUGGCGGUGCGCCUAACACAUGCAAGUCGAACGGGGUGCACGGAGCUGAUCGCUUCGGCGUGAAGCACCGUGUUACUUAGUGGCGAAAGGGUAAGUAACACAUGGGUAACCAACCCUUAGGAUCGGGAUACUCCCGAGAAAUCGGGCACAAUACCGAAUAUUAUUCCGGGGUGAAAUUCUCCGGAAUAAAAGCUGCGAGCAAUCGUGGCGCCUAUGGAUGGGCCUGUGCCCUAUCAGCUAGUUGGUGAGGUAACGGCUUACCAAGGCAAAGACGGGUAGCCGGACUGAGAGGUUGAUCGGCCACACUGGAACUGAGACACGGUCCAGACUCCUACGGGAGGCAGCAGUGAGGAAUUUUGCGCAAUGGGCGAAAGCCUGACGCAGCGACACCGCGUGGGGGAAGAAGGCUCUCGGGUUGUAAACCCCUUUCGUGAGGGAAAAAGUCUCGAUUCUGUCGGGAUGAUGGUACCUCGGGAAGAAGCCACGGCUAACUCUGUG
RNAcentral lists this ribosomal RNA (506 nucleotides) under uncultured bacterium. RNAcentral's name for it is "bacterial SSU rRNA". It matches the Rfam family "Bacterial small subunit ribosomal RNA", at positions 29 to 507 of the family's 1533-position model. The record is from RNAcentral.